This 770-nucleotide long non-coding RNA is filed under the name Calidris pygmaea (Spoon-billed sandpiper). RNAcentral describes it as "lncRNA (ENSCPGG00000007777.1)". The record is from RNAcentral. Lineage: Eukaryota; Metazoa; Chordata; Aves; Charadriiformes; Scolopacidae.
GCCUGAGGAGGAUGUGGAGAAGAAAGGAAAUUCAUCAAAAGGAAGAGGAGGAAAAGAAAAAAAAAAAAGAAAAAAAAAAAGAAAUGGAGAAAAAAAAAAGAAGAGAAAGGAAAUGAGAGGCGGAAAAAAAAACUGGGGAAAAAAGACAACUUUUUGAGACUGGAAUUAAAACCCGAGCCCGAAGCCCCGUCGACCGCAGCUCCAGGGGAUGCCUUUGCCACCAGAAAAAUUCAACAGCAUUCAGCUGUUGUUGAGACCAUUUUAUGGCUGUUUACCAGGAGGACAAAAGAGAAAUCGAUGUGAAACACAAGCAAAUUCAUCCCCUUCUUGUGUGAGAUGGGCAGAGGCUUCGCCUGGUCCAGCCGAUUUUUGGGUACGAAAUCACUGCACUAAGGUUAAAAUGAGAGAAGGGGGGAAAACAAAAAUCACUUUGUACAACAUACAACCUGGUGGGGUGUGAAGCGGUUAAUUUUACUACAGCUCUUGAAAUAUUUUGGGGUGUUUUUAGCUGAAGACCCGGUUGAGGGAGGGUUGUGGUUUAGGUGAAAAUCACGGUGUUCCACGAGGCUGGUUUGUUGUUCCUCCGCGUUUCUCCCCAUCCCUCGGUUGCCAUGAGACCCAGAAACUUGAAAGCCGAGAGGAUGUACCGAGCGAGUUUAACCCCGGUGCGAUGGGAAUUUUGGCAGCAGAUUAAAAAUAACCCAAAAUUUAUCCUUGGAAGAAAAAGAAAUCAAAAUAAAUUUGAUUUUUUUUUCCUUUUUUUUUUUCCU